This is a long non-coding RNA of Astatotilapia calliptera (eastern happy), 2261 nucleotides long. Lineage: Eukaryota; Metazoa; Chordata; Actinopteri; Cichliformes; Cichlidae. The record is from Ensembl.
CAAGAGACGCAGGGAGACCGAGGGGAAACAACACAGACAAACCAGCAACUACCAUAACAGAAGACACAACUUAAAUACACCCAGAGAACACAGGGAGAUUACACACAGGUGGAGAACACAGGUGACACUGAUAAACAUAACGAGACAGGGCAGGAGUGAACACAACAUUACGCAUACUGACGAGAGACUGUCAAAGUAAAACAGGAAGUACACAGAGAGAACACAGGGAGAUUACACACAGGUGGAGAACACAGGUGACACUGAUAAACAUAACGAGACAGGGCAGGAGUGAACACAACAUUACGCAUACUGACGAGAGACUGUCAAAGUAAAACAGGAAGUACACAGAGGUUCAGACAGGAGGGGAGAGAGUACGGGGAGAACACAGACAUAACAGGCUGGGGGAAACAUGGAAUAAACACAAAGAGAGACGAGAGCUCAUAAAUACACAGAGGGGCACAAGGGGGUAAGAGUCACAAAGGGAAAAAACACUUAGGGAACACCACAACAGGACACCUCAGAAAACCGGGCCUAAAUAAGGAGCGAAAAUACAAGGAACCAAGAAUACUGGGCCAACAUGGCCCAGGACCAUGACAGAACUGAAUCCUGUUUAGAAGAUACAAUGCCGGUUUUUCAAAGCUGUGAAUAAAUCUUAGAGGGAAAAUUAGUGAGGGUUGAAGGAGUAGAACAGGUUUGAUUUUUUUGAUCUUUAGAAGAAGUGGUUAUAAUGUAGGCGUACACAUACAGAUAUUACAUAGGUUUAUCUUUAGGAUAGAGGGGAGAGCUUGUAAAUAGAAAUGAUUUUUAUACAUAUUGCAUUUUGUGCUUUUAAAGGAGUUGUGGCUCAAAUUUGUCUCUGGAGGGUCACGAGCCUUUGGCUAGCGCUAUGAUUAGCCAAUCUACUGUGAGGAUAAUAUGAGUUCAUGAAGGAUUGCACACGCUUACAGACACAGAGUUAAGAAACACACAUGACAGUAUUGAUUCCAGGCAACAGGCCUCAAAUUCAUUUAGCUUUUAACUGAACUUAAAGAAGGACCAAAGAGGAAGGAAAGCAUAUAUUUUGGUUAAGUCUGAUAAAGUAGAAUUAGGAGGUAUUGUUACAUUAAAGGGAGCAAAUGAAAUUAAAAGGCUAUACCAAAAUGGGUUAUAACAUAGGAAAUGUGAGGUUAAAAUGAAGUUAACACAUAGGAAUUGUUUCAAGGCAGCAUUUAGCUAUGAUGAAAUGUAUACAGGAGUAAUUGCUUAUAUGCUUAAACUUAAUUGAUUAAAGUGGUUGUUUUCUUUUGGAGUAGAGGAACUUGCAGCAGCGACAAUUUGUGCACAGGAUGUUGAUGAUCAGAUAAGGGAAAAAUAGAGCGAGCAACCGGACGUAAAAGCAGGGCUUAAAGAGUUUUAAGGGGAUGAGUAACGUUGAAGAAUAUAUAUAAAUAUAAGUCAAUAAGUUAAGAAGAUAAUUAGGAUCAGGCUUUUGAUUAAAGAGUCCCAGAUAGGAUAAGUUAGGGAGGUGCAGGAAAAGGUGUUUUGUUUCCUUUGCAGAAGAUCUCGGUGACCACAGGAGGGACGAGGAUCCUGGAGAUCUCGAGGUCCGAGACCACCAGAGAGGGUCUGAGCGAGGACACAAUGUAUUGCGACCUCUGGUGUUCCAGAGGUCGAGAGAGGGAGUGUGGAGCAGGGAAAUUAUUUUACUGCUAUUGUUAAAUAAUUGUCAUCAUUACCAUUGCAUUAAUAAUAUAAUCUGGAGUUUAUAUUGCAUUCAGAUGUUUAAACAGUGUGUGUCUUUCAGAGAGACUAAGUUGCAGGCUGACAGGAAGUUGCAGGUUUGCAGAGUGUGCCUUUUGCAGAACUGAAACCGAAAGCAGAGUCUAAGUGCAGGUUAUUUUGAGGAGCAUUUGAGGACGAGACACAGACAGUUAAGAGGUGACACAAAGAGCAUGUGAGGUCAACACAUACACACAUAUUAGUUAGACUUAUUUAGAGGAGAGAUCAGUUAUGUCUAGACAAGAAAGAGGAACAAUUCACUUUGAGACAAGAACGGAAAGUACCAAGCCAUGAAAAUAGAAGAUGAUUUUCUGGGUGAAAAGUCAUGAUGAUGUUGAUCUGAUCUAUGUAUAAAAUGUACCGGUGACGCAUGAAGGGGCGUCAGUAAACAAACCCUGAUGCUAUAAAAUAUCUGUUCAUGCUUUGAUUAAGUCGAGGACUACUGGCUGUCUGCGUACAGAGUGUCUUCCCACACGUGUGUUCAUUAAAAUCAUUGUUUGACC